Non-coding RNA from Phthorimaea operculella (potato tuberworm), 72 nucleotides. The record is from the annotation of a GenBank genome assembly. NCBI's taxonomy places the organism in Eukaryota, Metazoa, Arthropoda, Insecta, Lepidoptera, Gelechiidae.
ACAUCGAUAGCUCAGUGGCAGAGCGGUGGGGCGUUUACCCACGCGGCCUGGGUUCGAUUUCCGGUCGAUGUA